CCCGCACAAGCGGUGGAGCAUGUGGUUUAAUUCGAUGCAACGCGAAGAACCUUACCUGGGCUUGACAUCCCGAGAAUCCCCUGGAAACAGGGAGUGCCCUUCGGGGAGCUCGGAGACAGGUGCUGCAUGGCUGUCGUCAGCUCGUGUCGUGAGAUGUUGGGUUAAGUCCCGCAACGAGCGCAACCCUUGUCUCUAGUUGCCACCAUUCAGUUGGGCACUCUAGAGAGACUGCCGGUGAUAAACCGGAGGAAGGUGGGACGACGUCAAGUCCUCAUGGCCUUUAUGCCCAGGGCUACACACGUGCUACAAUGGGCGAUACAGAGUGACGCGAAGCCGCGAGGUGGAGCAAAUCGCAGAAAAUCGCUCUCAGUUCGGAUUGGAGUCUGAAACCCGACUCCAUGAAGGUGGAAUCGCUAGUAAUCGCGCAUCAGCAUGGCGCGGUGAAUACGUUCCCGGGCCUU
RNAcentral lists this ribosomal RNA (461 nucleotides) under uncultured Desulfobacca sp. Its description in RNAcentral is "bacterial SSU rRNA". It matches the Rfam family "Bacterial small subunit ribosomal RNA", at positions 920 to 1382 of the family's 1533-position model. The record is from RNAcentral. Lineage: Bacteria; Pseudomonadati; Thermodesulfobacteriota; Desulfobaccia; Desulfobaccales; Desulfobaccaceae.